AAUAUUUGUCAAUGGACGCAAGUCUGAACCAGCCACGUCGCGUGAAGGAAGACGGCCCUACGGGUUGUAAACUUCUUUUGCAAGGGGAUAAAGUGGGCCACGCGUGGCCUUUUGCAUGUACCUUGCGAAUAAGGAUCUGCUAACUCCGUGUCAGCAGCCCCGGUAAUACGGAGGAUCCGAGCGUUCUCCGGAUUUAUUGGGUUUAAAGGGUGAUCAGGCGGGGGAUUAAGACGGCAGUGAAAUUUGACGGCUCAACCGUAAAAGUGCCUUCGAAACUGGUUUCCUUGAGUGUGGAUGAGGUAGGCGGAAUUUGUAGUGUAGCGGUGAAAUGCAUAGAUAUCACGAGGAACUCCGAUUGCGCAGGCAGCUUACCAGGCCAUAACUGACGCUCAAGCACGAAGGCGUGGGUAGCAAACAGG
This 419-nucleotide ribosomal RNA is filed under the name uncultured bacterium. RNAcentral's name for it is "partial 16S ribosomal RNA". It matches the Rfam family "Bacterial small subunit ribosomal RNA", at positions 360 to 776 of the family's 1533-position model. The record is from RNAcentral.